RNAcentral lists this transfer RNA (91 nucleotides) under Clostridiales bacterium. RNAcentral's name for it is "tRNA-Ser". It matches the Rfam family "tRNA". Rfam says of the family: Transfer RNA (tRNA) molecules are approximately 80 nucleotides in length. Their secondary structure includes four short double-helical elements and three loops (D, anti-codon, and T loops). The record is from RNAcentral. RNAcentral also lists the same sequence under 3 other names. Lineage: Bacteria; Bacillati; Bacillota; Clostridia; Eubacteriales.
GCAGAAGUACCCAAGAGGCCGAAGGGGCUCCCCUGCUAAGGGAGUAGGCCGGGAAACCGGCGCGAGGGUUCAAAUCCCUCCUUCUGCGCCA